AUAAACGAAAUAAAUUUUAGAAAAAUCACGCAACAAGAUAUAGGACAAAAUCUUCCACAUAUCUCUCCCUCUUUUUCUUUCUUUCAGGAGAGAAUUUCUCAAGAAACUCGAAUUAUAGCGUGUGAAGAUGAUAACAGUACAAGUUCCAUCGUACAAGAGGAGCCUGGUUACAUUUAUUCCGGCAUACUAACACCGCUAAUAACUCGAACAUCGCUCGCCAUCGCUAAGUAGCCAUGGUUUUAGUAAUUCGUGUACGUUUCGAACGGUGUCUAGCCUGAUGAUAAAAUUUCAGCUGGAGAAAAAGAAAAGAGGGGAUCGAUACGAUGAUCGUUCGAUGGAGGUUCCAGUUAUUAAAUUCAUCCUACGAAAGAUCAUCGUUCGUCCGGAGCGUACGUGGAAGCCGCUCGUUGAUCUAGGACGCACGCAGGCUAAAGAGGGAGGUUACCACCGUGGAAGGUAGAAACUCGCGGAGGUGACUGCAUCCCGGGUCAUUUCAGGUCGAAAGUUCGUCGGGCCAUACGUCUCUAUACAUAGAAGCGACUGAACAUCCUCCUCCUCCUCCUCUCUUGAUCUUUCCACCCUUUCCUCUCUUUCUCGCGCAUCCUGUCCCGUGGACUGACAGCUGAAGCCAGGAGUGACUGAAAUAUUCAUCGGCACAAGGCGAACGAGGCGCGACUGAACGUCGAUCUGUCAACCUCUUUGACUAUAUAAAUAUGGACUGCCAUCGAGAUUCCGCGCGUUAUAUAGAUUUACAGUAGAAAGAUAGAAAAUGUUUUAAACAUUUUUCGAUCCGCCGAUGGGCGUUUAACGGAUUAAUUUAAUGCCAGUAG
This 830-nucleotide unclassified non-coding RNA is filed under the name Bombus terrestris (buff-tailed bumblebee). RNAcentral's name for it is "misc RNA ENSBTSG00005035602.1". Lineage: Eukaryota; Metazoa; Arthropoda; Insecta; Hymenoptera; Apidae. The record is from RNAcentral.